UGGUGGCGAGUGGCGAACGGGUGAGUAAUAUAUCGGAACGUGCCCAGUCGUGGGGGAUAACGCAGCGAAAGCUGUGCUAAUACCGCAUACGAUCUAUGGAUGAAAGCGGGGGAUCGCAAGACCUCGCGCGAUUGGAGCGGCCGAUAUCAGAUUAGCUAGUUGGUGGGGUAAAAGCCCACCAAGGCGACGAUCUGUAGCUGGUCUGAGAGGACGACCAGCCACACUGGAACUGAGACACGGUCCAGACUCCUACGGGAGGCAGCAGUGGGGAAUUUUAGACAAUGGGCGCAAGCCUGAUCCAGCAAUGCCGCGUGCAGGAUGAAGGCCUUCGGGUUGUAAACUGCUUUUGUACGGAACGAAACGGUUCUUUUUAAUAAAGAGAGCUAAUGACGGUACCGUAAGAAUAAGCACCGGCUAACUACGUGCCAGCAGCCGCGGUAAUACGUAGGGUGCGAGCGUUAAUCGGAAUUACUGGGCGUAAAGCGUGCGCAGGCGGUUAUAUAAGACAGAUGUGAAAUCCCCGGGCUCAACCUGGGACCUGCAUUUGUGACUGUAUAGCUAGAGUACG
Molecule: ribosomal RNA, 568 nt
Filed under: uncultured bacterium
Lineage: Bacteria
Description: bacterial SSU rRNA
Rfam family: Bacterial small subunit ribosomal RNA
Source: RNAcentral